Felis catus (domestic cat) is the source of this 981-nucleotide long non-coding RNA. RefSeq lists it as uncharacterized. The transcript is spliced from 4 exons. NCBI's taxonomy places the organism in Eukaryota, Metazoa, Chordata, Mammalia, Carnivora, Felidae. The record is from RefSeq and is a predicted model, not a curated record.
GAUUUGAAUUUCUAACAAGUUCCAGGUGAUACUGAUGGAGCUGAGCCCAGCACCACAUUUUUUAGUGUUUUCAAGGAUGAGAUGGUGGUGGGUCCCAAGGACUGGAGGAGCCACCGAAUGUGAUGGCUUUUCGGGCUCCCAUUCCCCUGACUGAGUAGAUGCAGCAUGUUUGGAGACCCAGAAAACUGACCCAAUCAAGAGAACAUUCUCAUACAGAGGGAGAAGUCCUGGAAUCAAGUGCAGAGCUAUCUUAACCAGUUGCUAAAUCUAGGGGCACCAGUUGUAGACCAAGAUGUCACAGUGGCUGUGACCAGGCUGAAGACUCUUUCCUCCAAGAUGCAGAUGUGUUUCACAUAGACAUAGAGUCCUCAGAUGAGGCCAAUCGUGGACUUGGCCAAGGACUGGCCUUCAUGGGAUGCUGAAUGUUCCUGCAGCUGAAUUUGGUGAAACCUGGAAUAAGGGCAGAGUGAAGCCAGAGGACUGCCUAGCUCAGCACUGCACCCAUCUUCACGGAUUGUGAAUCUGUUCAAACUUGAAUGUGCAUACAAAUCACCUAAUUCUGAUUCACUAGAUCUGGGUUGAAUCUUCAAUUGCUGCAUUUCUAAGAGUCUCCCAGGCAAUGCUGCAGCUGAUCUUAACACCACACUUUGCACAGCAAGAUUCUAGACUCUUCAACCAUCAUUCCCCUGGAGAAGAGUCUAGCUUAAUGGAAAACCAGAGAGUUGAUAUUAGAAAGAGCAUUUAUUUGUGAAAUACCUAGUAUUGGUCAGGAACUGUGCCAAGGACUUUCUGUGCCUUGUUUAAUUCUGGUCAUAGCUUUGUAAGCCAGGCAAUGUUAUCCUUAUUUGAGAAUAAAAUUAUAAUACAAGGGUUUUGGGUUGCCUGUCCAUUGUGUUACAGUGUGGAUAAAGGAUGACCACACUUACAAUACUGGGCAUGGUGCCAUGAAUGUAAUAAAACAUAAUAAAUAGAUUGAUGUGA